Molecule: long non-coding RNA, 1184 nt
Filed under: Cricetulus griseus (Chinese hamster)
Lineage: Eukaryota; Metazoa; Chordata; Mammalia; Rodentia; Cricetidae
Description: lncRNA (ENSCGRG00015000266.2)
Source: RNAcentral
GGGAAAACCAACAUUAGGUUCUGCAAAGGCUUUCUUUUCUUUUAUUCCCUGUAUGUUUUGGUUCAGGAAUUUCAAAGAAGUAAAAUGUUGCUGUGUGGCAGUUAUUGGGUCCCGGGAAGGUGGCACCCAUUGCCCGAGGCGGUGGCGCGGGCAGCCCAGCUCCAGGAGGGCGGCUCUUACCGGAGGCUGCCGAGCUGCGGGCGGUCGGCCCCGGCGGCGGCGGCGGCGGCUGGAAUCCAUCAGGCACUGCCGGGCUGCGCGCACUCUGGGCGGCAGGUUCGGGCUCAUGUUGCUGGAAGGACCGGGUGGAAGCGCGCGGCCGCGGUCGCCCGGGCAGAGCCGGCGGCGGCUCCCCGCAGGAGUGUGAGCCGCGGUGGGGGGCUCCGCGCCCCGGGCUCCUUCUGGGCUCCCUGCCGGCUUCGGAGUCGCGGUCAGGACCCGGGAGGAGCUGCCGUGGAGUCGCGGCGGGAGCCCAGGCCGCUGCGGACCCCGCGAUCCCGCAGCCGGCAACUGGAGCCCACCUCUGCAGAGACAAAGCCAUCCAAGGAUUCAGCAACCACCACAGAUAUGGAGGACAGACACUGGAUAUGAAAUCUUAUUCACUGAAUUAAACAGUUAUUACACAAGUAAAUGGGCACUCGUGUUCCUUCCUUGGUUCAGAAAUUUUACAUUGCUAAUACACAUGGAACUGGGUAAAGAGAUUGUUCAAUUCUAAAACAUUCUAGAAACUACUCUCAUUCAGCUCCUCUCUACCCAAAUAAAAGUAGACUUCAUCACUGCCUUUGUAGCUUGGAGAAUAAGGGAACAGACUGCACAGAAAAGGCAGCCAUGUUGCACUGUUCAGCUGCUAUGCAGAGGCAAGCAAUGUGUUAUGGGAGUUACAAAUGGUACCCUUGAACUGACUCUUCUCUAAAAGGAGUAAGAACCACACCCUCUUUUUGUGUUUCUGGCUCUUGCACAGUCUAAUCACUUAGAGUGAAGGUUUAUGUAGGAAAAAAACCCAAACAAACAAAAACAAAAACAAAAUAACAACUUAGUUUCUUGCUGCAGUACUUCACUGUUUACGAAUCUGAACCAACCAGAAAAGCAUCAUGCAGCGUCUCCACAGUCCCCACGCUGGUUCCUCAACUGAGACACCAUCAUGGGGUGGGGAGGUCUAACCACAGCAAGAGAGCAGAGAGGAA